CCUACGGGGGGCUGCAGUGGGGAAUAUUGGACAAUGGGGGGAACCCUGAUCCAGCCAUGCCGCGUGUGUGAAGAAGGCCCUCGGGUUGUAAAGCACUUUCAGUGAGGAAGAACGCCUGGUGGUUAAUACCCAUCAGGAAAGACAUCACUCACAGAAGAAGCACCGGCUAACUCCGUGCCAGCAGCCGCGGUAAUACGGAGGGUGCGAGCGUUAAUCGGAAUUACUGCGCGUAAAGCGCGCGUAGGUGGCUUGAUAAGCCGGUUGUGAAAGCCCCGGGCUCAACCUGGGAACGGCAUCCGGAACUGUCAAGCUAGAGUGCAGGAGAGGAAGGUAGAAUUCCCGGUGUAGCGGUGAAAUGCGUAGAGAUCGGGAGGAAUACCAGUGGCGAAGGCGGCCUUCUGGACUGACACUGACACUGAGGUGCGAAAGCGUGGGUAGCAAACAGGAUUAGAUACCCUUGUAGUC
This 465-nucleotide ribosomal RNA is filed under the name Vreelandella stevensii. RNAcentral describes it as "partial 16S ribosomal RNA". It matches the Rfam family "Bacterial small subunit ribosomal RNA", at positions 338 to 795 of the family's 1533-position model. The record is from RNAcentral. Lineage: Bacteria; Pseudomonadati; Pseudomonadota; Gammaproteobacteria; Oceanospirillales; Halomonadaceae.